AAAUUGAAGAGUUUGAUCAUGGCUCAGAUUGAACGCUGGCGGCAGGCCUAACACAUGCAAGUCGAACGGUAACAGGAAGCA
RNAcentral lists this ribosomal RNA (81 nucleotides) under Citrobacter koseri. Its description in RNAcentral is "partial 16S ribosomal RNA". It matches the Rfam family "Bacterial small subunit ribosomal RNA", at positions 1 to 81 of the family's 1533-position model. Lineage: Bacteria; Pseudomonadati; Pseudomonadota; Gammaproteobacteria; Enterobacterales; Enterobacteriaceae. The record is from RNAcentral. RNAcentral also lists the same sequence under 43 other names.